AUUCCAGCUCCAAUAGCGUAUAUUAAUGUUGUUGCAGUUAAAAAGCUCGUAGUUGGAUUUCUGAUGGGAUCGACCCGGUCGGCUCCGAAAGGGGUCGCACUGGUGGUCUGUCCGGUCAUCCUCGAGGGGAGGCUUUCUGGCAUUCAUUUGUUGGGGAGUCGACGCUCGUCGUUUACUGUGAACAAAUUAGAGUGUUCAAAGCAGGCUUAGGCCGUUGAAUACAUUAGCAUGGAAUAAUAAGAUAGGACUUUGGUGGUUUAUUUUGUUGGUUUGCACGCCGAAGUAAUGAUUAAUAGGAGCAGUUGGGGAUGUCCGUAUUCGAUUGUCAGAGGUGAAAUUCUUGGAUUUAUUGAAGACGAACUACUGCGAAAGCAUUCACCAAGGAUGUUUUCAUUA
RNAcentral lists this ribosomal RNA (396 nucleotides) under Dictyocha sp. RNAcentral's name for it is "partial small subunit ribosomal RNA". It matches the Rfam family "Eukaryotic small subunit ribosomal RNA", at positions 582 to 975 of the family's 1831-position model. Lineage: Eukaryota; Dictyochophyceae; Dictyochales; Dictyochaceae. The record is from RNAcentral.